Molecule: ribosomal RNA, 250 nt
Filed under: uncultured Actinomycetes bacterium
Lineage: Bacteria; Bacillati; Actinomycetota; Actinomycetes
Description: uncultured actinobacterium partial 16S ribosomal RNA
Rfam family: Bacterial small subunit ribosomal RNA
Source: RNAcentral
GAUGAACGCUGGCGGCGCGCCUAACACAUGCAAGUCGAACGGUUAAAGCACCUUCGGGUGUGUAUAAAGUGGCGAACGGCUGAGUAACACGUGGGCAACCUGCCCCUCGCACCGGGACAGCCUCGGGAAACCGUGGAUAAUACCGGAUACUCCGGACCCUCCGCAUGGCGGGUCCGGGAAAGCCCAGACGGCGAGGGAUGGGCCCGCGGCCUGUUAGCUUGUUGGUGGGGGCAACGGCCCACCAAGGCGA